This is a non-coding RNA of Alexandromys fortis (reed vole), 366 nucleotides long. NCBI's taxonomy places the organism in Eukaryota, Metazoa, Chordata, Mammalia, Rodentia, Cricetidae. The record is from the annotation of a RefSeq genome assembly.
AUGAGGGUUCCUGCUUAUCUCCUGGUGUUGCUGCUGCUCUGGAUUUCAGGUUCUAGAUGUGACAUCCAGAUGACCCAGUCUCUAUCUCAGACUGUAUCACUAGGAGACACAGUCACCAUCAGGUGUCAAGCCAGUCAGAGCAUUGGCAGUGUGUUAAGCUGGAAUCAGCAAAAACCAGGGAAAUCUCCUAAGCUCCUGAUCUAUGAUGCAUCUAGUUUGGAAGAUGGGGUCCCAUCAAGGUUCAGUGGCAGUGGGUAUGGGAGAGAUUUUACCCUCACCAUCAGCAGCGUGGAGCCAGAAGGUAUUGGAACUUACUAUUCCCAACAGAACUACGAUUACACCUACAGUGGAACAAGUUAUAACUAA